RNAcentral lists this ribosomal RNA (468 nucleotides) under uncultured bacterium. RNAcentral describes it as "partial 16S ribosomal RNA". It matches the Rfam family "Bacterial small subunit ribosomal RNA", at positions 28 to 507 of the family's 1533-position model. The record is from RNAcentral.
GACGAACGCUGGCGGCGUGCUUAACACAUGCAAGUCGAACGGAAAGGCCCUGCUUUUGUGGGGUGCUCGAGUGGCGAACGGGUGAGUAACACGUGAGUAACCUGCCCUUGACUUUGGGAUAACUUCAGGAAACUGGGGCUAAUACCGGAUAGGAGCUCCUGCUGCAUGGUGGGGGUUGGAAAGUUUCGGCGGUUGGGGAUGGACUCUCGGCUUAUCAGCUUGUUGGUGGGGUAGUGGCUUACCAAGGCUUUGACGGGUAGCCGGCCUGAGAGGGUGACCGGCCACAUUGGGAUUGUGAUACCGCCCAAACUCCUCCAGGCGCCAGCAGUGGGGAAUUUUACACGAUGGGCGGAAGCCUGAUCAAGCAACGCGGCAGCCGGGAUGACGGCAACCGAGUUGUAAACCGCUUUCGACUGUGACGAAGCGUGAGUGACGGUAAUGAGUAAAGAAGCACCGGCUAACUACAUG